UUAAAUUGAAGAGUUUGAUCAUGGCUCAGAUUGAACGCUGGCGGCAGGCCUAACACAUGCAAGUCGAGCGGUAGCACAGAGAGCUUGCUCUCGGGUGACGAGCGGCGGACGGGUGAGUAAUGUCUGGGAAACUGCCUGAUGGAGGGGGAUAACUACUGGAAACGGUAGCUAAUACCGCAUAAUGUCGCAAGACCAAAGUGGGGGACCUUCGGGCCUCAUGCCAUCAGAUGUGCCCAGAUGGGAUUAGCUAGUAGGUGGGGUAACGGCUCACCUAGGCGACGAUCCCUAGCUGGUCUGAGAGGAUGACCAGCCACACUGGAACUGAGACACGGUCCAGACUCCUACGGGAGGCAGCAGUGGGGAAUAUUGCACAAUGGGCGCAAGCCUGAUGCAGCCAUGCCGCGUGUGUGAAGAAGGCCUUCGGGUUGUAAAGCACUUUCAGCGGGGAGGAAGGCGGUGAGGUUAAUAACCUCACCGAUUGACGUUACCCGCAGAAGAAGCACCGGCUAACUCCGUGCCAGCAGCCGCGGUAAUACGGAGGGUGCAAGCGUUAAUCGGAAUUACUGGGCGUAAAGCGCACGCAGGCGGUCUGUCAAGUCGGAUGUGAAAUCCCCGGGCUCAACCUGGGAACUGCAUUCGAAACUGGCAGGCUAGAGUCUUGUAGAGGGGGGUAGAAUUCCAGGUGUAGCGGUGAAAUGCGUAGAGAUCUGGAGGAAUACCGGUGGCGAAGGCGGCCCCCUGGACAAAGACUGACGCUCAGGUGCGAAAGCGUGGGGAGCAAACAGGAUUAGAUACCCUGGUAGUCCACGCCGUAAACGAUGUCGAUUUGGAGGUUGUGCCCUUGAGGCGUGGCUUCCGGAGCUAACGCGUUAAAUCGACCGCCUGGGGAGUACGGCCGCAAGGUUAAAACUCAAAUGAAUUGACGGGGGCCCGCACAAGCGGUGGAGCAUGUGGUUUAAUUCGAUGCAACGCGAAGAACCUUACCUGGUCUUGACAUCCACAGAACUUUCCAGAGAUGGAUUGGUGCCUUCGGGAACUGUGAGACAGGUGCUGCAUGGCUGUCGUCAGCUCGUGUUGUGAAAUGUUGGGUUAAGUCCCGCAACGAGCGCAACCCUUAUCCUUUGUUGCCAGCGGUUAGGCCGGGAACUCAAAGGAGACUGCCAGUGAUAAACUGGAGGAAGGUGGGGAUGACGUCAAGUCAUCAUGGCCCUUACGACCAGGGCUACACACGUGCUACAAUGGCAUAUACAAAGAGAAGCGACCUCGCGAGAGCAAGCGGACCUCAUAAAGUAUGUCGUAGUCCGGAUUGGAGUCUGCAACUCGACUCCAUGAAGUCGGAAUCGCUAGUAAUCGUAGAUCAGAAUGCUACGGUGAAUACGUUCCCGGGCCUUGUACACACCGCCCGUCACACCAUGGGAGUGGGUUGCAAAAGAAGUAGGUAGCUUAACCUUCGGGAGGGCGCUUACCACUUUGUGAUUCAUGACUGGGGUGAAGUCGUAACAAGGUAACCG
This 1511-nucleotide ribosomal RNA is filed under the name Klebsiella pneumoniae IS39. RNAcentral's name for it is "SSU rRNA". It matches the Rfam family "Bacterial small subunit ribosomal RNA". The record is from RNAcentral. Lineage: Bacteria; Pseudomonadati; Pseudomonadota; Gammaproteobacteria; Enterobacterales; Enterobacteriaceae.